RNAcentral lists this ribosomal RNA (700 nucleotides) under Microbacterium arborescens. Its description in RNAcentral is "bacterial SSU rRNA". It matches the Rfam family "Bacterial small subunit ribosomal RNA", at positions 274 to 984 of the family's 1533-position model. The record is from RNAcentral. Lineage: Bacteria; Bacillati; Actinomycetota; Actinomycetes; Micrococcales; Microbacteriaceae.
CGUCGACGGGUAGCCGGCCUGAGAGGGUGACCGGCCACACUGGGACUGAGACACGGCCCAGACUCCUACGGGAGGCAGCAGUGGGGAAUAUUGCACAAUGGGCGCAAGCCUGAUGCAGCAACGCCGCGUGAGGGAUGACGGCCUUCGGGUUGUAAACCUCUUUUAGCAGGGAAGAAGCGAAAGUGACGGUACCUGCAGAAAAAGCGCCGGCUAACUACGUGCCAGCAGCCGCGGUAAUACGUAGGGCGCAAGCGUUAUCCGGAAUUAUUGGGCGUAAAGAGCUCGUAGGCGGUCUGUCGCGUCUGCUGUGAAAACCCGAGGCUCAACCUCGGGCCUGCAGUGGGUACGGGCAGACUAGAGUGCGGUAGGGGAGAUUGGAAUUCCUGGUGUAGCGGUGGAAUGCGCAGAUAUCAGGAGGAACACCGAUGGCGAAGGCAGAUCUCUGGGCCGUAACUGACGCUGAGGAGCGAAAGGGUGGGGAGCAAACAGGCUUAGAUACCCUGGUAGUCCACCCCGUAAACGUUGGGAACUAGUUGUGGGGUCCAUUCCACGGAUUCCGUGACGCAGCUAACGCAUUAAGUUCCCCGCCUGGGGAGUACGGCCGCAAGGCUAAAACUCAAAGGAAUUGACGGGGACCCGCACAAGCGGCGGAGCAUGCGGAUUAAUUCGAUGCAACGCGAAGAACCUUACCAAGGCUUGA